CCUGCUGUUCCUGUGGGACAGGCUCGAGGAGGGGGGGCUGAACCGGGGGAGCAGGGUGAGGAGACAGGGCAAUGAUGACUGAGUGAAGCCAUUGCUUUGGGGGAGGGAGGGUGCCUUCAUUAGCUCUAAAGAGCUUCCCAUCACCAUGCGAGGCCCGCUGCAGUCAAAUAGCAGGGCCCCCACCCCCACCACCACCACCACCUCACCUUCGUGCACCGUUGCUUUAACACCCUCCUGGGUCACUGCUACUGCUGAGUGGGUGCCUGUGCGGCCGGGGAGGGAGAGGUGGGAGACAGAGAAAAGGGCCUGUGGAUAUCUGACAGUGUGUGAUUUUGCUCCCCUCCGGCCCCAUCGCCCUGCAGGAGGAACUGAACAGUGACAGUGUGGAACGUAUCGUUGUCAAUCCCAACGCCUCUUACGACAAGUUUAAGGACAAGCGGGUCAGCACCAAGGAUAUCGAUUUCUCUGACCGGAUCAGCAGGGCUAGGAGAACGGGUUACGAAUCUGGCGAUUACGAGAUUCUGGCAGAAGGAUGUGGCACCAAGGAGACCCCACAGCAGAAAUACCAGCGCCUGCUGCACGAACUGACAGAGCUGUCGGAGGAGGUCGAGCAGAUCAAGAUUUCUGCGAAGGACUCAGCGGCAGAGGAGAAACUGACCCCCGUCACCUUGGCCAAUCAAGUGGCUGGCCUGAAGAAGCACCUGAUGGCCUUGCAACUGGAGCAGGUUCUUGGACCUGAUGCCACCAUCGACCUGACCGACCCCCAGGGAGCUCUGGCCAAGCGCCUGCUGACCCAACUGGAUGUCACCCGGAGCGGGAAGGAGGGAGGCUCACCGGCCGGAAAAGAGAGCGGCCAGGUUGGGAACACCAACGCAGUGACUUACGAGCUUUAUUAUCGACCAGAGCAGACCCGGUUCACUCAGGCUGCCAAGGUGAG
This is a long non-coding RNA of Rhincodon typus (whale shark), 937 nucleotides long. RefSeq lists it as uncharacterized. The record is from RefSeq and is a predicted model, not a curated record. The transcript is spliced from 5 exons. NCBI's taxonomy places the organism in Eukaryota, Metazoa, Chordata, Chondrichthyes, Orectolobiformes, Rhincodontidae.